GAUUAACGCUGGCGGCAUGCCUAAUACAUGCAAGUCGAACGGAAGCAGCAAUGCUUUAGUGGCGAACGGGUGAGUAACACGUAGGGAACCUACCUAUACGACGAGGAUAACUACUGGAAACGGUAGCUAAAACUGGAUAGGAUCAAUUGAGGCAUCUUGAUUGAUUUAAAGAUCCUUCGGGAUUACGUAGAGAUGGCCCUGCGGCGCAUUAGCUAGUUGGUGAGGUAACGGCCCACCAAGGCGACGAUGCGUAGCUGAGCUGAGAGGCUAAACAGCCACACUGGGACUGAGACACGGCCCAGACUCCUACGGGAGGCAGCAGUAGGGAAUUUUCGGCAAAUGGGGGAAACCCUGACCGAGCAAUGCCGCGUGAACGAUGAAGGUCUUCGGAUUGUAAAGUUACUGUGAUUGGGGAAGAAUGGUAUUCUUAGGGAAUGAGGAGUACAUGAC
RNAcentral lists this ribosomal RNA (450 nucleotides) under uncultured bacterium. RNAcentral describes it as "bacterial SSU rRNA". It matches the Rfam family "Bacterial small subunit ribosomal RNA", at positions 28 to 473 of the family's 1533-position model. The record is from RNAcentral.